UGAGGAAUAUUGGUCAAUGGGCGCGAGCCUGAACCAGCCAAGUAGCGUGAAGGAUGAAGGUCCUAUGGAUUGUAAACUUCUUUUAUAGCAGAAUAAAGUGACCCACGUGUGGGUUUUUGUAUGUAUGCUAUGAAUAAGGAUCGGCUAACUCCGUGCCAGCAGCCGCGGUAAUACGGAGGAUCCGAGCGUUAUCCGGAUUUAUUGGGUUUAAAGGGUGCGUAGGCGGAAAGAUAAGUCAGCCUGUGAAAGUUUGCGGCUCAACCGUAAAAUUGCAGUUGAUACUGUUUGUCUUGAGUGUACAUAAGGUAGGCGGAAUUCGUGGUGUAGCGGUGAAAUGCUUAGAUAUCACGAAGAACUCCGAUUGCGAAGGCAGCUUACCGGGGUACAACUGACGCUGAUGCACGAAAGUGUGGGUAUCAAACA
Molecule: ribosomal RNA, 423 nt
Filed under: uncultured bacterium
Lineage: Bacteria
Description: bacterial SSU rRNA
Rfam family: Bacterial small subunit ribosomal RNA
Source: RNAcentral